RNAcentral lists this long non-coding RNA (1359 nucleotides) under Gossypium barbadense (sea-island cotton). RNAcentral describes it as "long non-coding RNA (GBAR_LNC002868)". The record is from RNAcentral. Lineage: Eukaryota; Viridiplantae; Streptophyta; Magnoliopsida; Malvales; Malvaceae.
CCGAAUUAAAACAUUUUAAAAAUUAAAGAUGAAUUUAAAAUCUGCAUUGUAUAGGCACAAAUCUGCCCAGGCCUGUACAAACAUAAACCAAAAUAAUAAUAAAAACAAAAUUUUUAAUAGUUCAAGUCCCUUUAUUACAUCAGCCCAAAUAUGCCAAAAUAAAACAAAAACCCAAAACAUAAAUUGAAACAGUCCAAAAUUAAGACCCAACUACACCCAAAACCUAAAACCUAGCCCAAAAGGUAUACAAAGCCCAACUGGCCCAAAACCCAAACACUAGGAAACCCUAGGUCACCCUUUUGCGCUGCAACAGCUUUGUAUGACCGCCAGCCCUGCCACAUAUGCCUUCGUACCCUCCAUACACGCACCAUACACACCAUGUACCUGCAAACAAACAAGAGAACAACACCAAAUAGGAAAGAAAAUAGAAAAAACUUGUAUUUUUUUCUUUAUUUUUUUUAUUCUUUUGGCUAUAAAGCCCAAAAACAAAUCAAUGUAUUUUCUUUACAUGCACAUAGCAAUAAAAAACAACAAGAAAUCAAAAGAGGUGAUUUGCUCUCUUUUUUAAAAACUUAUCAUAGCAUUUCGUUUUUUUUUCUUGACUAUUCUUCUAUUUCUUUUUGUUUCUUCAUUUACAAAGAAGAAAAUAAAAAAAAAAAAGAAGAGGAUAAAGGGGAAAGUUUCACCUGAACCAUUAGUAUACUGUCGGAGUUUCUUCUCUGUUAAAGCCCAAAUCCAACGGAGGUGGAGACCUCCUUCUUUUGAUUCCUUACGAUUGAAGGUGCUAUGAAUACGGAUUUAAACAAGUCCGAAUGAGGUAAUCUACCCUUCGUUUACCACCAUUUGUGGUGGUUGUAUGGCGGCUAGGGUUUGGCCUUUGAGAAUCGACUAAAAGGAGGGGAAUUAUGGUUUUGAGGGGAAUUAUGGUUUUGUUUCAAUGGUUUGAAGAAAAUGGCAGAUUGCCAUUAAAAUGCUUCUUUUAAUUUUGGAUGAUAAAUAAAACAGCACCAUUUAUGGGGAGGGGGGAUCCGCGUGCCAACCCUCUCCAUUACCCAGAUCCGGGCCUUUGCGCUUUAAGUGGGAAAUUUCGCAGCAAGUCCUUCCUUUUUUUGCUGGCUUUUAAUUAGCCCUUAUUCACAUUUUAUUUGUUUUAAAUUUUUCCAGGAAUUUGCGCGCCAAUUCAAUUGGGUCUGCGCCUAAACGUUGCGUUUUAAGAUUUGGAACAUUUGCACUUUUAAUCCUCGGACAUUUGUGCGCGUUGUGUUUUAAUCCUUAAUUAUUUUUAUUACUUUCUUUAUUUGUAAAUUGUCCACUUGGUUUUAUUUUUAUUUCAAUUGAGUUUUUAUUAUUAUUUCAAUU